AGAGUUUGAUCCUGGCUCAGAACGAACGCUGGCGGCAGGCUUAACACAUGCAAGUCGAACGGGCGCGAGCAAUCGCGUCAGUGGCAGACGGGUGAGUAACGCGUGGGAACAUACCCUUCGGUUCGGAAUAGCUCAGGGAAACUUGGAUUAAUACCGGAUACGCCCUUGGAUGAGAGUCUGGGGGGAAAGAUUGAUCGCCG
Molecule: ribosomal RNA, 200 nt
Filed under: uncultured bacterium
Lineage: Bacteria
Description: partial 16S ribosomal RNA
Rfam family: Bacterial small subunit ribosomal RNA
Source: RNAcentral